RNAcentral lists this ribosomal RNA (429 nucleotides) under Bacteroidota bacterium. RNAcentral's name for it is "Bacteroidetes bacterium partial 16S ribosomal RNA". It matches the Rfam family "Bacterial small subunit ribosomal RNA", at positions 355 to 776 of the family's 1533-position model. The record is from RNAcentral. Lineage: Bacteria; Pseudomonadati; Bacteroidota.
UAGGGAAUCUUCGGCAAUGGACGCAAGUCUGACGGAGCAACGCCGCGUGAGUGAAGAAGGAUUUCGGUUCGUAAAACUCUGUUGUUAGAGAAGAACAGCGCAUAGAGUAAAUGUUAUGCGAGUGACGGUAUCUAAACAGAAAGCAACGGCUAACUACGUGCCAGCAGCCGCGGUAAUACGUAGGUGGCGAGCGUUGUCCGGAUUUAUUGGGCGUAAAGCGAGCGCAGGCGGUCAAGUAAGACAGAUGUGAAAGCCCCCGGCUCAACCGGGGAGGGGCAUUGGAAACUGGAUGACUUGAGUGCAGAAGAGGGGGGUGGAAUUCCAUGUGUAGCAGUGAAAUGCGUAGAUAUGUGGAGGAACACCGGUGGCGAAGGCGACUCUCUGGGCUGUAACUGACGCUGAUGCUCGAAAGCGUGGGUAGCAAACAGG